UAAGGCAGCCAUAUCACCCUGUAGCCCAAGACUGGUUGCCCACUGAAGUUAAGCAGGGCUGAGCCUGGUCAGUACCUGGAUGGGAGACCUCCAGAGAAAACUAGGUUGCUGCUGGAA
Sinocyclocheilus anshuiensis is the source of this 117-nucleotide ribosomal RNA. The record is from Ensembl. Lineage: Eukaryota; Metazoa; Chordata; Actinopteri; Cypriniformes; Cyprinidae.